This 948-nucleotide ribosomal RNA is filed under the name uncultured archaeon. RNAcentral describes it as "bacterial SSU rRNA". It matches the Rfam family "Archaeal small subunit ribosomal RNA", at positions 1 to 926 of the family's 1478-position model. The record is from RNAcentral.
UUCCGGUUGAUCCUGCCGGACCCUACUGCUAUCGGGGCGGGACUAAGACAUGCAAGUCGUGCGUCUCUAAGCUAUGGUAGAGACGCGGCGUACGGCUCAGUAACACGUGGCUAACCUACCCUUAGGACGGAGACAACCCCGGGAAACUGGGGCUAAUACCUGAUAGGUGAGGAGGCCUGGAAUGGUUCUUCGCUGAAAAGGCGUUGAAGCCAUGCUUUUCAACGUCGCCUAAGGAUGGGGCCGCGUCCGAUCAGGUUGUUGGUGGGGUAACGGCUCACCAAGCCUAUAACCGGUACGGGCCGUGAGAGCGGGAGCCCGGAGAUGGGCACUGAGAUAAGGGCCCAGGCCCUACGGGGCGCAGCAGUCGCGAAAACUCCGCAAUGCGCGAAAGCGUGACGGGGCUACCCCGAGUGCCGUCCGCUGAGGAUGGCUUUUCCUCGGUGUAAUGAGCCGGGGGAAUAAGGAGAGGGCAAGUCUGGUGUCAGCCGCCGCGGUAAUACCAGCUCUCCGAGUAGUAGGGACGAUUAUUGGGCUUAAAGCGUCCGUAGCCGGCUUAGCAAGUUUCCUGUUAAAUUCAGCGACCUAAUCGUUGAGCCGCGGGAGAUACUACUAGGCUAGGAGGCGGGAGAGGCCGACGGUAUUCCCGGGGUAGGGGUGAAAUCCUAUAAUCCCGGGAGGACCACCAGUGGCGAAGGCUGUCGGCUAGAACGCGCUCGACGGUGAGGGACGAAAGCUGGGGAGCGAACCGGAUUAGGUACCCGGGUAGUCCCAGCUGUAAACGAUGCGGGCUAGGUGUUGAGGUGGCUACGAGCCACUUCAGUGCCGCAGGGAAGCCAUUAAGCCCGCCGCCUGGGGAGUACGGCCGCAAGGCUGAAACUUAAAGGAAUUGGCGGGGGAGCACCACAAGGCGUGAAGCUUGCGGUUCAAUUGGACUCAACGCCGGUAAUC